CCUACGGGCGGCAGCAGUGAGGAAUAUUGGUCAAUGGACGCAAGUCUGAACCAGCCAUGCCGCGUGCAGGUAGACGGCUCUAUGAGUUGUAAACUGCUUUUGUAUGAGGGUAAAUCCCGAUAUGCAUAUCGGCUUGAAAGUAUCGUACGAAUAAGGAUCGGCUAACCCCGUGCCAGCAGCCGCGGUAAUACGGAGGAUUCAAGCGUUAUCCGGAUUUAUUGGGUUUAAAGGGAGCGUAGGCGGUUCGAUAAGUCAGUUGUGAAAGCCCGGGGCUCAACUCCGACACUGCAUUUGAUACUGGCGGGCUAGAGUUUAGUUGCGGUAGGCGGAAUGUAUGGUGUAGCGGUGAAAUGCAUAGAGAUCAUACAGAACACCGAUUGCGAAGGCAGCUUACCAGACUGCGACUGACGUUGAGGCACGAAAGCGUGGGGAGCAAACAGGAUUAGAUACCCGAGUAGUC
RNAcentral lists this ribosomal RNA (460 nucleotides) under uncultured bacterium. RNAcentral describes it as "partial 16S ribosomal RNA". It matches the Rfam family "Bacterial small subunit ribosomal RNA", at positions 338 to 795 of the family's 1533-position model. The record is from RNAcentral.